Molecule: small RNA, 21 nt
Filed under: Arabidopsis thaliana (thale cress)
Lineage: Eukaryota; Viridiplantae; Streptophyta; Magnoliopsida; Brassicales; Brassicaceae
Description: ATSL018340
Source: RNAcentral
AAACAAAAAACCAAAAAAACA